GCUGGGCAUAGUGGCGUGUGCCUGUAGUCCCAGCUACUCGGGAGGCUGAGGUGGGAGGAUCACUUGAGCCCAGGAAGUCAAGGCUGCAGUGAGCUGUGAUCACGCCACGGCACUCUAGCCUGGGAGACAGAGUGAGACCUUGUCUCAA
Molecule: signal recognition particle RNA, 148 nt
Filed under: Nomascus leucogenys (northern white-cheeked gibbon)
Lineage: Eukaryota; Metazoa; Chordata; Mammalia; Primates; Hylobatidae
Description: Metazoan signal recognition particle RNA
Rfam family: Metazoan signal recognition particle RNA
About the family: The signal recognition particle (SRP) is a universally conserved ribonucleoprotein.
Source: Rfam by way of RNAcentral